RNAcentral lists this ribosomal RNA (497 nucleotides) under uncultured bacterium. Its description in RNAcentral is "partial 16S ribosomal RNA". It matches the Rfam family "Bacterial small subunit ribosomal RNA", at positions 28 to 507 of the family's 1533-position model. The record is from RNAcentral.
GAUGAACGCUGGCGGCGUGCCUAAUACAUGCCAGUCGAGCGAACAGACGAGGAGCUUGCUCCUCUGACGUUAGCGGCGGACGGGUGAGUAACACGUGGAUAACCUACCUAUAAGACUGGGAUAACUUCGGGAAACCGGAGCUAAUACCGGAUAAUAUAUUGAACCGCAUGGUUCAAUAGUGAAAGACGGUUUUGCUGUCACUUAUAGAUGGAUCCGCGCCGCAUUAGCUAGUUGGUAAGGUAACGGCUUACCAAGGCGACGAUGCGUAGCCGACCUGAGAGGGUGAUCGGCCACACUGGAACUGAGACACGGUCCAGACUCCUACGGGAGGCAGCAGUAGGGAAUCUUCCGCAAUGGGCGAAAGCCUGACGGAGCAACGCCGCGUGAGUGAUGAAGGUCUUCGGAUCGUAAAACUCUGUUAUUAGGGAAGAACAAAUGUGUAAGUAACUAUGCACGUCUUGACGGUACCUAAUCAGAAAGCCACGGCUAACUACGUG